UGGGAAACUUCAUAUGCCUUGGAGACAAAAAAAAAAAAAAAAGAAAAGAAAAGAAAAGAAAAAGAAAACUUUGGCUUAUUACACUCUUUAUCUUAUGUUCUCAGAUACUUUUUGCAUGAUUUACCUGGGCAUUUUCCUCUAAAGAAGAUGGAGUUUGAGAAUUCCAGCAGACUGAUUUAGAGAUUGUGAGAGACCAGGGACUCAUCUCUUUGGUUCUACACUGAAUCUCAAGCUCUCAACUCACAAGUUACCUUGUUAGAGGUCAUGCCACAUCCAGGACAAGCCAGGGUCAGUGCUUAGGAAUCCUGUCGUCAGAGGGAGAUGGUGAGCCAUGUGGAAACGGAGUCAGCGUGAUUCUUUACAUGGUUAGCGUUCUGCUGGAGGUGGGGUGUAAGGUUUCUUAAGGAAGGACAUUUAUCGUGAUUAAAAUUGCUCAGAGCUUGCUUCAUUGUGUAAUUCUGAUACUGUUAUAUGUGAUUUUGGCAAGAGGGGGGUAUUAAAGGGGACAGAAAAUCCCAGACGAUGGCAUGGAAGGGCACAUGGUGUAGAUGCUACCUCAAGACAAGGGGCUGUGGCAGCAGGAGAACACCCGCUGAUUGGUCAUACUCCCAGUCAGAAAUGCCUCCUGGUUAUCUCCUAAGAAGGACAGCUGAGAGCACAAAUGCCCAAGGACAGUGACUUUCUGUUAGCCCACCAUCAUUCUAUAAUAUUUAGCAUGUAGGUCCAAGAACAAACUAGUAAAAGGCGUAUUUGGGAGUUGAUGUUUUUCUGGGAAAUAAAGUGUAAGGUAUCCUCCAGGACAAAAAUGUUAAGAAGAGAGUCUAAUGAUGUGUACCCCCUAAAAGCCAAUGAUUCCAUUCCUUGCACAUUCUCUAUAGCAAUGUCUAUGUAUGUGCGUAAACAUUCUUAGCAACAUUAUCCAUGAUAGCACAACACUGAAAACAAUCCGCAUGUCCAUCAACAGUAGAACAGAUAAGCAAAGUAUGAUGGAUUCCUAUAAUGCUACGUUGCACAGCAAUAAGAAUGAACAAACUACAGGUACAUAUAAUAAUGUGAUGAAUUUCACAUAGCAUUGAGGUUAAGAACUUAGAAAAAACCCCAGUAUGUAUAAUAUGAUUCCAUAUAUAUAAAGUUCAAAACCAAGUGAAAUUAACUGAUGGCAUUAGAAGAUGGGGUGGUGGUUAACUCUGAGAGGACGGUGGGUGCGGUAGUGUUGGUGAGUGAAGGGGUCGUGGUUACACAAAUAUGUUCAUUCUGUGAGUGUUCAUUAAACUAUAUGCUUAA
Molecule: non-coding RNA, 1284 nt
Organism: Sus scrofa (pig)
Lineage: Eukaryota; Metazoa; Chordata; Mammalia; Artiodactyla; Suidae
Source: RefSeq, a predicted model, not a curated record